GAUGAACGCUGGCGUCGUGCCUAAUACAUGCAAGUCGAGCGAACAGACGAGGAGCUUGCUCCUCUGACGUUAGCGGCGGACGGGUGAGUAACACGUGGAUAACCUACCUAUAAGACUGGGAUAACUUCGGGAAACCGGAGCUAAUACCGGAUAAUAUAUUGAACCGCAUGGUUCAAUAGUGAAAGACGGUUUUGCUGUCACUUAUAGAUGGAUCCGCGCCGCAUUAGCUAGUUGGUAAGGUAACGGCUUACCAAGGCAACGAUGCGUAGCCGACCUGAGAGGGUGAUCGGCCACACUGGAACUGAGACACGGUCCAGACUCCUACGGGAGGCAGCAGUAGGGAAUCCUCCGCAAUGGGCGAAAGCCUGACGGAGCAACGCCGCGUGAGUGAUGAAGGUCUUCGGAUCGUAAAACUCUGUUAUUAGGGAAGAACAAAUGUGUAAGUACCUAUGCACGUCUUGACGGUACCUAAUCAGAAAGCCACGGCUAACUACGUG
Molecule: ribosomal RNA, 497 nt
Filed under: uncultured bacterium
Lineage: Bacteria
Description: partial 16S ribosomal RNA
Rfam family: Bacterial small subunit ribosomal RNA
Source: RNAcentral